RNAcentral lists this ribosomal RNA (253 nucleotides) under uncultured bacterium. RNAcentral describes it as "partial 16S ribosomal RNA". It matches the Rfam family "Bacterial small subunit ribosomal RNA", at positions 524 to 776 of the family's 1533-position model. The record is from RNAcentral.
UACGUAGGUGGCAAGCGUUGUCCGGAUUUACUGGGCGUAAAGAGCGCGCAGGCGGUCGUUCAAGUCGCGUGUGAAAGCCCCCGGCUCAACUGGGGAGGGUCACGCGAUACUGAUCGACUCGAAGGCAGGAGAGGGUAGUGGAAUUCCCGGUGUAGUGGUGAAAUGCGUAGAGAUGUGGAGGAACACCGAUGGCGAAGGCAGCCUACUGGGCCAGCACUGACGCUAAUGCACGAAAGCGUGGGGAGCAAACAGG